UACGUAAGGAGCAAGCGUUAUCCGGAUUUACUGGGUGUAAAGGGAGCGUAGGCGGUAAGGCAAGUCUGAUGUGAAAGGCCAGGGCUCAACCCUGGGACUGCAUUGGAAACUGUUUAACUGGAGUGUCGGAGAGGCAAGUGGAAUUCCUAGUGUAGCGGUGAAAUGCGUAGAUAUUAGGAGGAACACCGGCGGCGAAGGCGGCCUGCUGGACCGUAACUGACGUUGAGGCUCGAAAGCGUGGGGAGCAAACAGG
This 253-nucleotide ribosomal RNA is filed under the name uncultured Lachnospiraceae bacterium. RNAcentral's name for it is "partial 16S ribosomal RNA". It matches the Rfam family "Bacterial small subunit ribosomal RNA", at positions 524 to 776 of the family's 1533-position model. Lineage: Bacteria; Bacillati; Bacillota; Clostridia; Lachnospirales; Lachnospiraceae. The record is from RNAcentral.